GACCUGAGUUCAGGUGAAGGCUACCCAAUUU
This 31-nucleotide ribosomal RNA is filed under the name Ulva sp. RZ1. RNAcentral describes it as "partial 26S ribosomal RNA". The record is from RNAcentral. Lineage: Eukaryota; Viridiplantae; Chlorophyta; Ulvophyceae; Ulvales; Ulvaceae.